CACACAAAUAAUUACAAAUGCAUGUGAAUGUAUUUAAAGUAAAAAUGUUAUAUCUUGGAUAAACUAAAACUCAUUUACUUAUAACAAAACUAUGUAUGUAUAUAUGAUAGUAAAUUUCAGGUUUGACUAACAUUUUUCAAUGAUUUUUAUCAUUUUUCCAUUUGGUCUUAAUUAAAGUCCUUUGUUAAAGCUUUAUUAAGACUUAGGCCUCCUGAGUUGAUGCUUUUCUACUCAUAUGUGUAGUAAUGUGGUUGCUUCCUGAACAACCUGGGUUUGGACUGUGCAGGUCCACUCAUACGUGGCUUUUCUUCUUCCUCUCCACCCCCCUGAGACAGCAAGACCAACCCCUCUGCCUCCUCCUCGGCCUAUUCAACAUGAAGUUUCGAGGAGCAUCCUGGGGCGUCCGAGCCUCCGAUAAGCUCCUCCAGCAUGACAUCACGCAUCUUGCUACGCCAGCAACUCAUGCGCGAGCAGAUGCAGGAGCAGGAGCGUAGGGAGCAGCAGCAGAAACUGCAGGCGGCCCAGUUCAUGCAACAGGAAGUGCCCGUGAGUCAGACCCCAGCCAUCAACGUCAAUGUGCCCACCACUCUUCCCUCUGCCACCUAGGUGCCAAUGGAAGUCCUUAAGGUGCAGACCCACCUCGAAAAUCCAACCAAGCACCACAUACAGCAAGCCCAAAGGCAGCAGGUAAAGCAGUACCUUUCUACCACUGUAGCAAAUAAACAUGCCAACCAAGUCCUGAGCUUACCAUGUCCAAACCAGCCUGGCGACCAUGUCAUGCCACCGGUGCUGGGGAGCAGUGUGCCCAACAGCCCCACGGCCAUGCUUACGCUUAACUCCAACUGUGAAAAAGAGGGGUUUUAUAAGUUUGAAGAGCAAAACAGGACAGAGAUCGAGUGCCCAGGCAUGAACAUGCAUUCAUGAGCGUCAUGUAUGCAGAUGGAUGAUGUAAUUGAUGAGAUCAUUAGCCUAGAUUCAAGUUAUAAUGAAUAAAUCCUGGGCUUGAUGGAUCCUGCCCUGCAAAUGGCAAAUACGUUACCUGUCUCAGGAAACUUGAUUGACCUUUACAAAAACCAACCCCCAAUGCCUCACCCCCACCCCCGCGCCUCGCCAUUAGCAACUCCUGUCCAGCCAACCUUCCCAACAUCAAAAGGGAGCUCACAGCAUGUAUUUUUCCCACAGAGUCUGAGGCAAGAGCAUUGGCUAAAGAGAGGCAAAAAAAAAAAAGGACAAUCACAACUUGAUUGAACAAAGAAGAAGAUUUAACAUAAAUUACCGCAUUAAAGAACUAGGUACUUUGAUUCCCAAGUCAAAUGAUCCAGACAUGUGCUGGAACAAGGGAACCAUUUUAAAAGCAUCGGUGGACUACAUCCGAAAGCUGCAACGAGAACAGCAACGUGCGAAAGAACUUGAAAACUGACAGAAGUACUGGAGCAUGCCAACCGGAACCUGAUGCUCAGAAUAUAAGAACUCGAAAUCCAGGAUUGAGCUCAUAGACUUUCACUUAUUGCAUCCGCGGGUCUCUGCUCCCCAGAUUUGGUGAAUAGGAUCAUCAAGCAAGAACCCGUUCUUGAGAACCGCAACCAAGACUUCCUCCAGCAUCACACGGACCUGCACGACGACCCUUGAUCUCAUGCAUGGCACCAUCACCUUCAACAACAGCCUCGGACCGGGGACCGAGGGCAGCCAAGCCUAUGGCGUCCCCACGAAAAUGGGAUCCAAACUGGAAGACAUCCUGAUGGACGAUACUCUGUCUCCUGUUGGCGUAACUGACCCACUCCUCUCCUCCGUGUCCCCGGGAGCUUCCAAAACCAGCAGCCGGAGUUGCAGCAUGAGCAUGGAGAAGACGGAGCAUGCCUGUUAGCAAACCCGCCCUGCCUUGCACCCUCACAGACUGCUUCCUUUCUUGAUUAGUAGAUUUAAUAAUUUACCUGAAGGGGUUUUCUUGAUAAUUUUCCUUUAAUAUGAAUUUUUUUUCAUGCUUUAUCAAUAGCCCAGGAUAUAUUUUAUUUUUAGAAUUUUGUGAAACAGACUUGUUGAUUCUAUUUUACAACUACAAAUGCCUCCAAAGUAUUGUAUAGAGAGUGUGCAGUAUCUGUGAACCAAAUGCACCAUGGACUUUAGCUUUCUGAGCAAGAGGAUUUUGCAUCAGAGAAAUGCCUGUCCAUUUUUAUUUAGGGGAAACUUGAUUUGAGAUUUUUAUACCUGUGACUUCCUUGGAAAUUAAAUGUAACAUUUAAUUGAAAGAAUGUAAAGCAACCAAAAA
Microcebus murinus (gray mouse lemur) is the source of this 2266-nucleotide non-coding RNA. Lineage: Eukaryota; Metazoa; Chordata; Mammalia; Primates; Cheirogaleidae. The record is from RefSeq and is a predicted model, not a curated record.